AUGCUACCUUGUGAUUUCUUUGCUUCUAACUUGCAUUGCAUGAUGCCAUCACUUAAGGUAGAUUUGAAAAACUAUUUGCUUGGACAUGAUCAUACACACCUUGUUAGUGGCAUUACUCUCAUUUGUGAUGAUCACAGUUACUUUCCUCGUGCUAGUUCUAUGCUUAAUGAAACAUAUCAUUCCCAUGCUAGUCUUGAGCUUAAUGAUAAAUAUCAUCCUCAUGUUAGUGUUGACCUUGCUGAUUUCUACCAUCCUAAACAUGUGCUUUAUAGCUAUGCUUAUGUAAUUGGAUAUUCGAUUGAUGACUUGGAGGGUAUUAUCCCUACCGCUUGCAUUGUUUCUUUUGUUGAGUGCCCUUUCAGGUUUUUGCUACUGCACCGUUCACUACAUGCUGACCAGGUUCGAGGUGACAUCCCUUGGGAUCCUGGUGGAGUCAGAGCAUGGCGAUGA
This 450-nucleotide ribosomal RNA is filed under the name Triticum aestivum (bread wheat). Its description in RNAcentral is "partial small subunit ribosomal RNA". The record is from RNAcentral. Lineage: Eukaryota; Viridiplantae; Streptophyta; Magnoliopsida; Poales; Poaceae.